GCGGUUUUAGCUCAGUUGGGAGAGCGUCAGACCGAAGUUUCAACUUUAGUCUCAGUAAAUCUGAAGAUCCUGUGUUCGAUACACACAAAUCGCA
Molecule: non-coding RNA, 94 nt
Organism: Nadsonia fulvescens var. elongata DSM 6958
Lineage: Eukaryota; Fungi; Ascomycota; Dipodascomycetes; Dipodascales
Source: the annotation of a GenBank genome assembly